CUAGAAAGGGAGAGCAGAGCCCAGGGAACUCCGUGCGGUCCCGCAGGAAGGCCUCCUUGACCACUCACUCUGCGGCCGCCUGGUCAUCACCAGCCCUCAAGGAUUUAUGUUGUUUUCAGCACAGCUCCUGUGGCUGCCUGGCAGAGAGAGGGAGACCGUUCCACCCACUGGCCUACUCCUCAAACGCCCACAACGGGGCCUGGGCCAGACAGGAGCCGGCAGGCCAGAGCUCCAUCCGGAUC
Molecule: long non-coding RNA, 242 nt
Organism: Lepus europaeus (European hare)
Lineage: Eukaryota; Metazoa; Chordata; Mammalia; Lagomorpha; Leporidae
Exons: 3
Source: RefSeq, a predicted model, not a curated record